This is a small nuclear RNA of Heterocephalus glaber (naked mole-rat), 96 nucleotides long. Lineage: Eukaryota; Metazoa; Chordata; Mammalia; Rodentia; Bathyergidae. The record is from Ensembl.
GUAUCACUUCAGCAGCACAGGCACUCAAGAUAAAAUGACACAGAGAAGAUUAGCAUGGCUCCUGUACCAGAACGACACACAAAUUCCCCUAUUUUA